CUUUAAGUUGCACAGAGGCACUUUGUCCUGAGACAGGCUUAUUGAGACAUCAUAUUCUUUUCUUUGUCAAGCCUGAUGGGCUUAUUUCACACACAAAAUGAAAUCUCAAAGUUGUCAUUGUAGAAAGUCUGAAGAGUGGGUGGGGAACGGAAUGACUUUCUCAAAGAUGUCAGGAAGGUGCUUAGCCUGAGGUAGAAGGUGGUGUCUUGUAGUGGGGAGGUGUGGGCCAACCAGCCACAGCCAGACAGCUGUCACAAACUGCGCCACCUUAAGCAAGUGGCUUAACAUUUCUGUGCCUCAGUUUCCUUACCUGCGAAAUGGAAUAAUAACAGUAUCUGCCUCGUAGGAUUGUUAUGACAUAGACUAAAUAAGUGAAGGCACAUACAGUGCGUAAAUGCAAAAGCAGCUGUGCGUGUCAGGCACUGUCCUGCGCUCCCUACCAUCACUGCCGGCAGCAGCAGCAGCUGAGCCGUAAUGGGCACGAGCAGCAUGGCCAUCGCAUGAUGCAUCGGUUGGGAGCAUUCGGCUGCUGGUAAUAAACACCAGGAGUAGCUGUGGAUUAAUCUCGGCAUGGAUUCUCCUGGACCGCAGGAUAUCCUACCUGCCCUGCACUGGCAAUGUUCAUCUUGAUCACCUGGCCAAGAUAUUGUCGGAUUUCUUCACUGUGUAAUUAUUAUUUGAUACGGGUUGGAUCUGUGUCCCCACCCAAGUCUCAUGUUCAGCUGUAGUCCCCAGUGUUGGAGAGCACGGGCUCCCCAAAGGCCAGGAACGAGUCUGGUUUCUGGAACAGCACUGUCUCCUCAGCACCUAGACCUGGGCACAUAGCAGACAACCAAGGAAUGCCCAUCAACGAGAGGAGGCCUCACCUCAUGGCGGCCAUGUGGGGCAGGAAUGACUGUAAUCCCCCCUAACCAAUGGAACAGCUAAGACUCAGAGAGGCCUCCGUCGUUGCUCUGGGACCUCGUUGCUGACCCUGGAUGACAGACCACUGCCUAGGAUGAAAUUCCCCUCUGGAUGGAUGGCUUCUGGUUUGGUGAUGGAAUGGAUUCCAGGGCCUCUGAGGAAGGCAGGAAGCCUUGGGACUUGGCAAUCUCCACAGGAGAUGGGGUGUGUGCUAGGUGAGGCCCCCAUCACCAGGAGCAAGGCCUGGUCCACCCUGAGACCCAGCGCCCACUUACUGUCCAUGCCUUCACCUUGCUAAGUUAGUGUGUGGUCCACUUGCUAAGAGAAACAACAGGUAUUAAGGGUUUAAGAAAAAAUGAAACCCAAAACAAGCUCUGAAGUUCUGUAGACCUUGGCCAACUCUCAGCACAGCCACUUACUUGCUAGCUAAUCUUGAGCACGUCCCUUAACUUCUCUAACCUUUUUCCUCCAUUCGUAAAACUGGGAAAAUUUGCAUCUUUUUCGUGCAUUCGUUUUGAGAAAUAGAUGGAUAUGUGUGUGCCUGUCAGCUCGACGCUGGGUGCAGAGUGAGUGCGCUAAGCACGGUGGCUUCCUUGACUGUAGAGAUGCAUCCUAGCUCCUGCCUGGUCUGUCCCAGGUGGACAGAGGUGAUGGCAUCUGGAGGGGUCCCACCUCCAAUGUCUUAAUCCAGGGCCUUUCUGUGGCAUAGUGCUGAGCCAGCGUACUGAAAGGCCACAGAGAGGUGCAGCAGGUGGCGAGUUGAGCCCCCACCUCCCCAACCCCAGUGAUUUUCCCUGAAAAGACACCCCAUGCUUUGUUUUGUUGUCUGGCUUAUGUAAACUUGCCUCUUGUUUUAUAGUUGCUUCCCCAGCUUUAAACUAAAGGCUGUUAUUGACAGCCUAUAGUUGCUUCCCCAACGGCCAAUCCCUCCAGCUCCCCUCCUGCUUCCAGGCAAACAACCCCAGUCAUAAGGGCCUGCGAUGUUCCCAGUCCCAGGGAAUGAGUCCUGAUUGGUCUAAGACAGCUAAGACAAUUCUUUUCUACUUUAUCAAAUACAGAUGACCCCUGAACAGCACCAGUUUGAACUGGGGGGUCCACUUAUAUGUGGAGUUUCUCUCUCUGCCACCUCUGGGACAGCAAGACCAAUGCCUCCUCCCCCUCCUCCUCCUGAGCCUACUCACUGUGAGUAGGAUGAAGACCUUUAGGAUGAUCCAUUUCCACUUAAUCAAUAGCAGAUAUAUUUUCUCUUCCUUAUGAGUCUUUUAACAACAUUUUCUUUUCUCUAGCUUAUUUUAUUGUAAGAAUACGGUGUUGAAUGCAUAUAACGUGCAAAUACAUGUUAAUCAACUGUUUAUGUUACGGGUAUGGCUUCUGGCCAACAGUAAGCUAUUAAUAGUUAAGUUUUGGGGAAGUCAAAAGUUAUAUGCAAUUUUUUGACUGCACAGGGAGUCAGCACCCCUCACUCCUCAUUGUUCAGGGUCAACUGUACUUGGUUUCCAAGCCUCCCUUAUAAGUCGGUAUGGCCAUGGGACCCAGUUUUAGAUGUGAGAAGAGAAGAAGGGUUGCAUCUGGGAAGGAUUUCUUUCUGGAUGAAAGAUAGUCUUUUGAGGAGCGGCUCCUUGGUCCCUGCCCUGUCCCUCCUGCUGGAGAUGCUGCAUGCAAGGGCCUGAUGUCUGGAAUUGAAGCAUCCAUGUGGUGACCAUGAGACAAGAAGCAUGACAAUAAAAUUUCACUGGGUGGAAGAAUGAGGAAGUCUGGAUUCUUGAUGAUACUGUUGCCGUCUGAACAUGCCCUGUGACCCUGUACUUCUGGGCAUCUGGUUACAUGAGCAAUAAAUAUUCUUACGGCUAAAACCA
RNAcentral lists this long non-coding RNA (2759 nucleotides) under Homo sapiens (human). RNAcentral describes it as "HSALNT0269616". The record is from RNAcentral. Lineage: Eukaryota; Metazoa; Chordata; Mammalia; Primates; Hominidae.